GUCUUAGUUCGGCUCUAUUGCCGCGAGCUUGACUCUUCCUGGGUCUGAGGAAAAGUAAAAGUAAUUUUGUCAUUUCCUGAAACUUCAAGUUAAACCUUUAAGCUGUUCAUUUCCUAAAAGGGUGAAAACGCGGGCACCCCUCGAGCUAGUUCAUCGCCUUUUAACCUGUUGUUGGAUCUUUCCAGAUCACCACACCACAUCACCCAGCCACUCUGCCCAAUGGGAGGGCAGACAGUGUUCCAGUGUAGGAGGAAGGGGUGUAAGGUGCGGGCAGUUUGUGAGGAGGGCACCAACGAGAGCUACUGUGAGAAAGUCUGCAUGGUCAAAAAGUGGAUUACCAAGAACAAAGCAUCAUAAUGUUGUCCAGUGGACCCCAGAAAACUGACAACUGUUUAGAACAAAGCCAAAGAUGAAACCAAAUAUAAAACCACUGAUGAAAACUAAGUGAAAAAUAUAAGCAAAAUAGAAGAAAAAUAAGGUCGUUAUUUCAAGAAAACGAAAGACAGUCAAUGCUGUUCUUUGUAUUCACAUACAAUUUGGUUCACACCAAAAUUUUUUAUCUUUAUCGUAUAACUGAAUGAGUUAUGUGGCACAU
Molecule: long non-coding RNA, 595 nt
Filed under: Homo sapiens (human)
Lineage: Eukaryota; Metazoa; Chordata; Mammalia; Primates; Hominidae
Description: HSALNT0315636
Source: RNAcentral